This 425-nucleotide ribosomal RNA is filed under the name uncultured bacterium. RNAcentral's name for it is "partial 16S ribosomal RNA". It matches the Rfam family "Bacterial small subunit ribosomal RNA", at positions 354 to 796 of the family's 1533-position model. The record is from RNAcentral.
GUGGGGAAUCUUGCGCAAUGGGCGAAAGCCUGACGCAGCAACGCCGCGUGCGGGAUGAAGGCCUUCGGGUUGUAAACCGCUUUCAGCAGGGACGAAAAUGACGGUACCUGCAGAAGAAGCUCCGGCUAACUACGUGCCAGCAGCCGCGGUAAUACGUAGGGAGCAAGCGUUGUCCGGAUUUAUUGGGCGUAAAGAGCUCGUAGGCGGUUUCGUAAGUCGAGUGUGAAAAAUCUGGGCUUAACCCAGUGGAGCACUCGAUACUGCGAUGACUUGAGUCUGGUAGAGGAGUGUGGAAUUCCUGGUGUAGCGGUGAAAUGCGCAGAUAUCAGGAGGAACACCAACGGCGAAGGCAGCACUCUGGGCCAGUACUGACGCCGAGGAGCGAAAGCGUGGGGAGCAAACAGGAUUAGAAACCCUUGUAGUCC